Molecule: long non-coding RNA, 783 nt
Organism: Rattus rattus (black rat)
Lineage: Eukaryota; Metazoa; Chordata; Mammalia; Rodentia; Muridae
Exons: 2
Source: RefSeq, a predicted model, not a curated record
AGGAGUUAGAAGACAUUAAUUAGGAAGUCCCGUGACACAAAACAGGAAGAUGGAUGGGUUGGGAUCAAAUCGAGAAGGGAUCCACGUAGUAGGAUAUGGAGCCAGUGUUUCAUUAAAUAGGGGCCUCCUUUAAUGCCAAAUGGCAGCGUCUGAGAACAGGAGACCAGAGGAAGAGAGCCUAAGCAGAAUUGGGCAAAGAAGGGACAAAAAGCUGUAAGCAGAAAAGGCAAAGCUGGCCGGACAAAAGCAGUGGUCGGGACACUGACCUUCCUCAAGUAGCAGCAAUAGGAACGAAUGAGACAAAUUAUGAGAAUGGAAAAACCCAGUGGGAGCAUCCCGUAGCCAGCGACUCAAAAAUGAAUCUGGGUAUCCCUGAGGAGACGGGGAAGACGCUCCGACUCGGCUGGAUGCGGCAGGGAGAGCCAGUUUGAGGAGCACUGAACUCUCAGAAGGCCUCCCCUGAACACCAAUGUACAAUUUAGGGGCGAACAUCUCCUGAAUCCCCCAAAAUGCUGAAGACUUAUCACCCGUGAGAGAGGGAAGACAUGGUGUCAGAGACAAAACCUUUAGGCUGACGACACUUGGAGCCCCAGAUGCUUUGCUGCACAGAGUUCACAGAAAAAGAAUCAGAAGAUCUGGGAAAUCCAGGUUCCCAGAGGAAGAAAGCCAGUUCCUUCUAGUUCUGGGCUCUGGAAGAAACCAGAGACCUAACAGCCUCACAGCCUGGCGUUGGCAACCCUUCCCUGAGAUAAGGGAGCAGAGGCGCGGCUCUCCUUCGGGGAG